Molecule: ribosomal RNA, 548 nt
Filed under: uncultured bacterium
Lineage: Bacteria
Description: bacterial SSU rRNA
Rfam family: Bacterial small subunit ribosomal RNA
Source: RNAcentral
UAGGGAAUCUUCCGCAAUGGGCGAAAGCCUGACGGAGCAACGCCGCGUGAGUGAAGAAGGAUUUCGGUUCGUAAAGCUCUGUUGUUAGGGAAGAAUGAUUGUGUAGUAACUAUACACAGUAGAGACGGUACCUAACCAGAAAGCCACGGCUAACUACGUGCCAGCAGCCGCGGUAAUACGUAGGUGGCAAGCGUUGUCCGGAAUUAUUGGGCGUAAAGCGCGCGCAGGUGGUUUAAUAAGUCUGAUGUGAAAGCCCACGGCUCAACCGUGGAGGGUCAUUGGAAACUGUUAAACUUGAGUGCAGGAGAGAAAAGUGGAAUUCCUAGUGUAGCGGUGAAAUGCGUAGAGAUUAGGAGGAACACCAGUGGCGAAGGCGGCUUUUUGGCCUGUAACUGACACUGAGGCGCGAAAGCGUGGGGAGCAAACAGGAUUAGAUACCCUGGUAGUCCACGCCGUAACGAUGAGUGCUAAGUGUUGGUCUCAUAAGAGAUCAGUGCUGCAGCUAACGCAUUAAGCACUCCGCCUGGGGGAGUACGACCGCAAGGUUG